Non-coding RNA from Lonchura striata (white-rumped munia), 187 nucleotides. The record is from RefSeq and is a predicted model, not a curated record. NCBI's taxonomy places the organism in Eukaryota, Metazoa, Chordata, Aves, Passeriformes, Estrildidae.
UAAUAAGCACUUUUUGCUAUUAUAAAUAUACUUUAAAAUGUUGAAUAUUAAAUGUGUGAUAUAAGGGGUUAUAGAUACUAUUUCCAGAAUCUCAGUUUUUCACUGUCUCAGCCUGCCAUGUCAUCUGCAAGCCUUGGAUGUUGUAAAGUAAUGAAAAUACCUGGUAAAGCAUGAUCACAUCAUCCAU